GGGUUGUGAGGUUAAGCGACUAAGCGUACACGGUGGAUGCCCUGGCAGUCAGAGGCGAUGAAGGACGUGCUAAUCUGCGAUAAGCGUCGGUGAGGUGAUAUGAACCGUUAUAACCGGCGAUUUCCGAAUGGGGAAACCCAGUGUGUUUCGACACACUAUCAUUAACUGAAUCCAUAGGUUAAUGAGGCGAACCGGGGGAACUGAAACAUCUAAGUACCCCGAGGAAAAGAAAUCAACCGAGAUUCCUCCAGUAGCGGCGAGCGAACGGGGAGGAGCCCAGAGCCUGAAUCAGUGUGUGUGUUAGUGGAAGCGUCUGGAAAGGCGCGCGAGAUCG
Molecule: ribosomal RNA, 334 nt
Filed under: Escherichia coli
Lineage: Bacteria; Pseudomonadati; Pseudomonadota; Gammaproteobacteria; Enterobacterales; Enterobacteriaceae
Description: bacterial LSU rRNA
Rfam family: Bacterial large subunit ribosomal RNA
Source: RNAcentral